This 1906-nucleotide ribosomal RNA is filed under the name Schizomida sp. MCZ IZ-79798 106212. RNAcentral's name for it is "eukaryotic LSU rRNA". It matches the Rfam family "Eukaryotic large subunit ribosomal RNA", at positions 42 to 1820 of the family's 3401-position model. The record is from RNAcentral. Lineage: Eukaryota; Metazoa; Arthropoda; Arachnida; Schizomida.
AUAAAUAAGCGGUGGAAAAGAAACCAACAGGGAUUCCCUCAGUAGCGGCGAGCGAAGAGGGAUGAGCCCAGCGCCGAAUUCCGCGCCCGCAAGGGCGUCUGGAACAUGUGGCGUUUAGGAGGAAUCUCUCCGGAGGCAGACGGUGUCGCAAGUCCCCCUGAACGGGGCUGUGAUCCAGAGCGGGUGCGAGGCCCAUAGCUGGUACCGUCUCCUCCGGGUGUCGCCUCCUCGGAGUCGGGUUGCUUGGGAGUGCAGCCCUAAUUGGGUGGUAAACUCCACCUAAGGCUAAAUACGUCCGUGAGACCGAUAGCAAACAAGUACCGUGAGGGAAAGUUGCAAAGAACUUUGAAGAGAGAGUUCAAGAGUACGUGAAACCGCUCAGAGGCAAACGGGUGGGCCCACGAAAGCCGAAGGCGGGGGGAUUCAGCCGAGAGGACGGCGGGGCAUGGCUGGCUGGUUCGACGGACCGUGCCAGGCCGGGUCAGCUCCCGAGACCCGUCGCCUCUCGACGCAUUUCCCUCUGCUUAGUAGGACGCCGCAACCCGUUGGAGCCCGCAGCCAUAAGGGAGAGACUUCGGAAGGUAGCCAGUGAGUUCUUCUUCGGAGGCGCAAGCUGGUCCUAAGCCCCCUCUCCUGGUGUUUGUGGCCCAACGGUGGUCUUGAGUCCCUCCACGGGACGUUGCCGAGCCCUUCUCGAACGAGCGGGAACGCACGGCAGGCUGUCCUCCGCGACCCAAAAUCGGUCGCUCCACGCGUGCAGUGGACGACCUUCGGAGGCAGCUGCUGGAACGUGCGACUCCUGCGCUGGGCACAGGCAGUUGGCGGCGAGUAGGUCGGUCACCCACCCGACCCCCAAGGAGUCUAACAUGUGCGCAAGUCAUUGGGUCUUGGACAAGCCCAAAGGCGCAAUGAAAGUGAAGACCGGCACUGAAGUCGGUGGAGUUGGGAAACUGGGCCAGUGAUGGCUCAGUUGCACCAACGGCCCGUCCCGUCCGCAUUGUCGGUGGGGCGGAGCGAGAGCGUACACGUUGGGACCCGAAAGAUGGUGAACUAUGCCUGGGCAGGACGAAGCCAGAGGAAACUCUGGUGGAGGUCCGCAGCGGUUCUGACGUGCAAAUCGAUCGUCAGACCCGGGUAUAGGGGCGAAAGACUAAUCGAACCAUCUAGUAGCUGGUUCCCUCCGAAGUUUCCCUCAGGAUAGCUGGCGUUCGAGGGAGAUCAGUCUCAUCCGGUAAAGCGAAUGAUUAGAGGCCUUGGGGCCGAAACGACCUCAACCUAUUCUCAAACUUUAAAUGGGUGAGAAGUCCGGCUUGCCCGACCGAAGCCCGGACGACAGGAUGAGAGCGCCCAGUGGGCCACUUUUGGGCGCUCCAGCGUCGAGCCCAUACCCGGCCGCCGCGGCAGAUGAUUUAGAAGCUUAUGCCGCGGUGAGUAGGAGGGUCGCAGUGGCGUGCGUUGAAGGUGCCGGGCGCAAGCCCGCCUGGAGCCGCCACUGGUGCAGAUCUUGGUGGUAGUAGCAAAUACUCAAGUGAGAACCUUGAGGACUGAGGUGGAGAAGGGUUCCAUGUGAACAGCAGUUGAACAUGGGUCAGUCGGUCCUAAGGAAUAGGAGAAGUCCGUUCCGAAGCGGGACACUUAUUUGACGGAUUAGUCCCGCCCACUGACCGAAAGGGAAUCGGGUUAAUAUUCCCGAACCCGGACAAGGAGAUCGGCCCCUCGGGGUCAAGUGCGGUAACGCAACUGAACUCGGAGAAGUCGACGGGAGUCCCGGAGAGAGUUUUCUUUUCUUUGUAAGGGUUUGGCUCCCUGGAAUCGGUUCGUCCGGAGAUAGGGAUGCUAUCCCCGUAAAGCAUCGCGCCUCCUGCGGUGUCCGGAGCGCUCCURUCGGCCCUUGAAAAUCCGAGGG